UGAAGACUGUGAUGGUUUGUAUAUUCUUGGACCAGGGAGUGGCACCAUCCGGAGGUGUGGCCUUGUUGGAUUAGGUGUGACCUGGUUGGAAUAGGUGUGUCACUGUGGGUGUGGGCUUAAGACUCUCACCCCAGUUGCCUGGAAAGUCAAUCUUCCACUAGUAGCCUUUGGAUGAAGACGUAGAACUCUCAGCUCUGCUUGUGCCAUGCCUGCCUGGAUACUGCCAUGCUCCCACCUUAAUAAUGGACUGAACCUCUGAACCUGUAAGCCAGCCCCAAGUAAAUGUUGUUUUUUAUAAGACUGCCUUGGUCAUGGUGUCUGUUAACAGAAGUAAAAUCCUAACUAAGAGAAAGAUCCAGAAAUAAAACCACAAACUAUGAACAUUCGAUCUUUGACAAAUAAGCCAAAAAUAUACAAUGGACAAAAGAAAGCAUCUUCAAUAGAUGGUGCUGGUCUCACUUGCAGUCAGUAUGUAGAAAAAUGGAAAUAGAUCCAUACUUGUCACCUGUACAAAGCUCAAGCAAUCCAAGUGGAUCAAGGACCUUGACAUAAAACCAAAUACACUGAAUCUAAUAGAAGACAAAGUGGGAAAGAGCCUCAAACUCCUGGGCGGGGGAGGGGGGUGUCGAAGAUUUCCUAACUAGAACUCCAAUGGCUCAGGCUCUAAGAUCAAGAAUUGAUAAAUGGGACCUCAUGAAACUGAAAAGCUCCUAUAAGACAAAGGACAUAGUCAAUAGGACAAAUCAGCAACCUACAGAUUGGGAAAAAAAAUCUUCACUAACCCCACAUCCGAUAGUGAGCUAAUAUUCAAAAGAUAUAAAGAACUCAAGAAGCUAACCUCCAGAAAACAAACAACCCAAUCAAAAAAUGAAGUAUAGAACUAAACCAAGAAUUUACAACAGAGAAACAUUGAAUGGCUGAGAAACACUUAAAGAAAUGUUCAAAGUGAUCAGGGAAAUGCAAAUCUAAACAACCCUGAGAUACCACCUUACACCAAUCAGAAUGGCUAAGAUCAAAACUCAGGUGACAGCACAUGUUAGGGGAGAAUUCAGAGAAAGAGGAACAUUGCUGGUUGGAUUGCAAACUGGUACAAUCACUCUGGAAAUCAAUCUGGGGGUUCUUCAGAAAACUGGAAUUAGAUCUACCUAAAGACCUAGCUAUACCACUCCUGAGCAUAUACUCAAAAGAUAUCCCACCAUGCCACAAGGGUACAUGCUCCACUAUGCUCAUAGCAGCCUUAUUUGUGAUAUCCAGAAGCUGGAAACAACCCAGAUGUCCCACAACAAAAGAAUGGAUACAGAAAAUGUGGUUCAUUUACACAACGAGGACAUCAUGAGUUUUGCAGGCAAAUGAAUGGAACUAGAAAAUAUCAUCCUGAGUGAGGUAUCUCAGACCCAAAAAGAACAUGUAUGUAUGGAAUGUACUCACUAAUAAGUAGAUAUUAGCCCCAAAAAAGCACAGAAUAUCCAGGAUACAAUCCACAGAACUCAAAAAGGUUAUCAAUCCAAUAGGGCCCAAGUGAGGAUGCUUUAACUCGAAGGCAGAGGGAGGGAGGGAACUGAGUGAGAGAGGGGAGGGGCAGGGGAAAAGGGGGACUUGAUCAGGUAUUGGGGGUGGGGACCAGGAGUGAAACCCGAGGGCCAACAGAAAGAAUGGAAAUAUACAACCUCGGGAGGUGGGAGAACCCUCUAAAAUGUAGCAGAGACCUGGAAGUGAGAGAACCUCAAAACUCAAAGGGAAAGACCUUAGAUGAAAUGCCCAACGGUGGUGAGAAGGAACUUGUAGAAUCUACCUCCAGUAGAAAGACAGAGUAUCAAGUAGAAGGAUGGGGUUGCUAUCCCACAGUCAAAAACUCUGACCCAGAAUUGUUCCAGUCUAAAAGAACUGUGGGGACAAAAAUGGCAAAGAUACUGAUGGAAAGGAGGUCCAGUGACUGGUCCAAAUUGAGACCCAUCUCAAGGUGAGGCUCCAAGGCCUGACACUAUUACUGAUGUCAUGAUGUACUUACAGUCGGGAACCUAGCAUGGCUGCCCUCCAAGAUGCCCAACAAGCAGCUGACUGAGACAGAAGAGAUAAUUAUACCCAGCCAAUGGACAGAAGCUGGGGAGCCCUGUGAUUGAAUUAGGGGAAAUCUGGAAGAAGCUGAGGAGGAGGGCGACCCUGUAGGAGGAUCAGCAGUCUCAACAAACCUGGACCCCCUAAGAUCUCUCAGACACUGACCUACCAACCAGACAAUAUACAACAGAGGACUGCCUAUCUGGACUCAGUCAGAGAAGAUGCAAUUAAUCGUUGAGAGACUUGAGGCCCCAGGGAAUGGGGAGGCCUAGCAGGGUGGAGGGUGGGGUGGGGAUAUCCUCUUGGAGAGGGGGGGUUUGGGGGGAAGGAAUGGGAUGAGGAACUGUCAGAGAGCAGAACAGGAGGAGGAUAACAACUGGACUGUAAAGAAAGAUUAAAGAUAAUAAAAACAAAAACACAGGUCUGGUGAGAUGUCUCAGCGGGCACUGGCUGUGGUCUUCAAGAAGUCCUGAGUUUAAUUCCCAUCAACCACAUGGUGGCUCAUGAUUAUCUAUAAUGGUAUCCAAUGCUCUUUUCUGCCAUGCAGGUGUACAUGCAAAUAGAACACUCAUUACAUCAAUAAAUAAUUUUUUAAAAAACACACAAAUUCACACAUUCCACUGAGAAGGUAAAUAAAGCGUUGUAUAUUGACCUAGUAGGGUAUAUUUCAGCAGUUAAAACAGAGGGACUGUAUACCACACAGCAACCAUGCAUGAAAAACAGGCUGAGCAUGGCCCUCAGUGGUUCAGCACUUACCUUACCUAGAAGGCCCUAACUUCUAGGCCCAAUACGAG
RNAcentral lists this long non-coding RNA (2849 nucleotides) under Mus musculus (house mouse). RNAcentral describes it as "long non-coding RNA chr17:12825629-12828478". The record is from RNAcentral. Lineage: Eukaryota; Metazoa; Chordata; Mammalia; Rodentia; Muridae.